Molecule: ribosomal RNA, 369 nt
Filed under: Triticum aestivum (bread wheat)
Lineage: Eukaryota; Viridiplantae; Streptophyta; Magnoliopsida; Poales; Poaceae
Description: partial small subunit ribosomal RNA
Source: RNAcentral
AUGGCCGUCACCGUGCCCUCCGCCGCCCGCCACCUCCUCCUCCUCGUCACCGUGACCGUCGUCUCCGUCGCGGCCGCGACGCCAUCCUCGCCGGGGCGGCCGUUCCGGACGCUGUACGCGUUCGGCGACUCGUUGACGGACACGGGCAACACGCACUCCACGACGGGGCCCUACUCCUUCGGCGUGUCCCACCCGCCGUACGGCGCCACCUUCUUCCACCGCCCCACCAACCGCUACUCCGACGGCCGCCUCGUCGUUGAGUUCCUCGCCACCGACGUCCUCGCCCUUCCCUCCUUGCUGUUGGAAUUAACCACGAUGAGUAGUCCUAGUCCGGUUUGGACAGGAGCAAGUCACCACGUAGUAUACUAG